UAAUAAUACAGUUCAGACAGAGUACUGCACCCGUUAUUUUAUAUACAGUCAAUGGUUCAUAUCUAUAAUAUAUAUAAAUAUAAUAAUAAUAAUAAUACAUUUCAGACAGAGUACUGCACCCGUUAUUUUAUAUAGUCAAUGGUUCAUAUCUAUAAUAUAUAUAAAUAUAAUAAUAAUAAUAAUACAGGUCAGACAGACUACUACACCUGUAUACACAUAAUAAAUAGCAACCCUAUUAAUACAUAGAACUUAUGUAACAGUCUGUGUACAUUUAUUACUACUCAUUA
Dicentrarchus labrax (European seabass) is the source of this 287-nucleotide long non-coding RNA. RefSeq lists it as uncharacterized. The transcript has 3 exons. The record is from RefSeq and is a predicted model, not a curated record. NCBI's taxonomy places the organism in Eukaryota, Metazoa, Chordata, Actinopteri, Moronidae.